This is an RNA transcript of Lycium barbarum (goji berry), 3059 nucleotides long. It is a transcript of the gene named casein kinase 1-like protein 3, with no coding region annotated. The transcript is spliced from 17 exons. Lineage: Eukaryota; Viridiplantae; Streptophyta; Magnoliopsida; Solanales; Solanaceae. The record is from RefSeq and is a predicted model, not a curated record.
AAGGGUCCAUUUGCACAAAAACUCACAAAAUGACCAUAAUGGUGAUUAUGUGGAGAAAAUCCCGUCCCUAGGGAAGCAAAAGUCAAAGAGUUAGGAGUAAUAUACUAUUCUUGUCUUUCUUAAUUCUUCUCUCCAAAACAGUUCUUCAACCCUUCUUGGUUUUCACUUUUAUAUACCUGAAGAUAUAUAUAUAUAUAUAGCUGAAAAUUCACAAAAGUCCUUUGUUUCUUCUUUUCUUGAUUGAAUCAAGAACUGACUUUGGGGGUUAUAUAUGGAGAGAAUAAUUGGAGAGAAGUAUAAGUUGGGUAGAAAGAUUGGAAGCGGUUCUUUUGGGGUUAUAUAUCUUGCUACCCACAUUGAAACUUUUGAGAUUGUUGCUGUUAAAAUUGAAAAUAGGCAGACAAGACACCCUCAGUUGCUUUAUGAGGCAAAGCUGUACACUAUACUUCAGGGAGGAAGUGGUAUUCCUAAUAUAAAAUGGCGUGGGGUUGAUGGGAAUGACAGUGUCCUCAUUAUUGACCUGCUUGGUCCCAGUCUUGAAGACCUUGUUGUACACUGUGGGAGGAAAUUUUCACUGAAAACUGUCCUAAUGUUGGCAGAUCAGAUGAUUACGAGAAUAGAGUAUUUGCAUUCAAAAGGAUUUCUGCAUAGAGACAUAAAACCAGAUAACUUCCUCAUGGGUCUUGGCAGGAAGGCAAAUCAGGUCUAUGUUAUUGAUUUUGGACUUGCAAAAAGAUAUCGUGACCCCGUCACAAACCGUCAUAUUCCUUACAGAGAGAACAAGAACCUGACAGGGACAGCAAGGUAUGCCAGUUGCAAUACACAUUUGGGAAUAGAGCAAAGCCGGAGGGAUGAUCUGGAAUCUCUUGGCUAUGUUCUUUUAUAUUUCUUGAGAGGCAGCCUUCCGUGGCAGGGUCUAAAAGCUGAUACAAAGAAGCAAAAAUAUGACAAGAUCCGUGAGAAAAAAGUAUCAACACCAAUUGAGGUUUUAUGCAAAUCUCUUCCGGUGGAGUUUGCUUCAUACUUGCAUUAUUGUCACUCUUUAACAUUUGACCAGCGCCCUGAUUAUGGAUUCCUGAAACGCUUGUUUCGUGACUUAUUUACACGUGAAGGUUAUAAAAUGGAUUAUGUGUUUGAUUGGACCAUCUUGAAAUAUCAGCAGACACAGAGGUCAAAGUCGCAGCUAGAACUACCUAGUCUUCAUCCACUUUCUGUAACGACGGGUACUGGAGCGUUGCCAAAGGUUUUAAAUAAGCAAGCUGAAGCUACAAAACAGAAGAUAUCAGGUAAUUUUGUACGUGGUGAUGCAUCAGCAACCAAUCUGAAACCGGACAAUCGUACUGGAAAAAAUAUAACAAGCGAUGCGUCUAUUCCUUCUACAUCGUUGGCUGAUGCCUUCAAGAGAAGCUUCCCAAAACACGAAGAUUCAAUUGAAGUUGGAAAUGUAGGUCAUGCACAAAGUGGGAAAGCUGGUGCUUCAAGCAGCAAGCUGCAUUUCUUGAGCAGGAUGUCUUCUAGGUGAACUGGGAUCAUAGUAUGUGGGAGAAGUGCCGAAGAAGUCAAGGUCUACUUCGUGAUGUUGAAUUCACUUGAGCCAUGUGUACCAGUAUUCUAUCCAUCUCGAGUUUUAAUAGGUGCUCAAGUUCCUGAAAGCUCAAAUUCGGUAUUAGAGCAUUUCAGACAUCUAUAUGUCAUUCUUGAUGAUGAAGCCUGCCUUUGGUGUUGAAGUUCCAAUGGGGCACCAUCAUGGCUCUUAUAAAAAAUCAACCUUGCCUUUGUUUAUAAUCGUAUACUUGCUGCGGAGAUGAUGGAAUUCUGUAACAUGGAGUCAGAGGUAUUGUGUGAUUGGAGCCAUAGCUUUUCUGCUCCUUUAAUUUUAUCUAUCAUGUCUCAAAAACAAUCUUCAUACUACUACAUGUUGGCCAUUUUCGCUUCAAUAAGGCUUUUCAUGUAUUUAGCUCACAAAUAUCUCCCCCCCCCCCCCCCCCCCCCUCCUCUCUGUAUUUCUCUUUAAAAUAGUAUAUGGGACAAAGAAGUCAGUAGUUUAGGUCAUGUUCUGUCAAGAGGCUAGUUUGUUGAAUUCGCUGAACUUUUUGGCAGAACUCAACUUAAAAUAUACCAAGAGGCCUUCCAUAUGUCUAUGAAACAGAUGAUACUUUCAACUAGUUUGAACCAUGAAGUUUCAAGCUUUUCCAUUAGCUUCAUGUUAUACUAUUUGACAUGUAUCAUACCCGAAGGUUCCUUUCUAUUGGGGUUGGGGGGUUAGUGGGGGUGUAUUUUCAGCUUCAGCUUCAGUACCAGAUGGCGUUCGGAGAUUGAGAAAUUUGGGUGGAAAAGAACACGAGAGUGCUAUUUAGCAAAAGCUACAAGAUGCAAAACUAGGUACAAUAUCGGACAGGUGGUAUGCAUAUAUUUCCGUUUUAUUCUGCAUUGACCUCACAAACACCAAUUUCAGGUUCAAAAUUUUUGUGCUGAAUUUAAAUGAAUAAAACACAAGUUUGUUUAUCUAGUUCCUGAUUUGUGACAGGCUUGAGAACCUAAGCGCAUUGGUUUAUUCAAUGUUCAAGUACUCUUUUACCUGGAAAUACAGUGUAGGUAUUUUUAGUUCAGUGAUAAUGAUAUCACUUAACAUGCCAAAACUAAUCGUCACUCCACCUGUGAUGUGAAUUAAAAGAUCCUACUCUGUAGCUUCCGGUAUGUUGUUUCCUCUAAAACGCGCUAUUGCUAUAAAGGUUACGAUUUAAGCAUUCAAAAUGAAGUUAUUAUGAAAUGUGAAAGACGUUUUUUUCUUCUUCACAAGGUGCUUCUGGUGUGGCAGAUUUGUAGCUGCGUCUUACCACGUACAUACUAUUAAUAAUCGAAAUAAUAAGCAGUUAGCACUCAUUCCUACAAUUGGAAGAAAUUAAUUGGUGUUACAUCUAUCCAAAUGAAUUAUUAAAACUGAUAUGUGGCAUAAAAACUUGUUUAUGCUUAUUUGGGGAGGAAUCAAUUGAUACUUCUAUCAUAUAAGGUAAAGUUAUAGAAACCAAUUCAAGCAGUGAUGUGUACAGGGACAGGCA